UCUCAGUAGGCAACCGUUUCCGAAGGCAAACUGCGGAGAAUUGAACCGGAGCAGUUUGCGCGCGUAUUUUUCCGGAUUUUCGGCCCUAAUCCUGUGGCCCAGCCGUAUCAGGCGGUUUGGUUAUUGCAGUUCUGUUGAAACUUUGGGAUCCUGUUUCGCGCGGAGAGUUAUUGUGGUUUCGGGGAAGUUGCAGACGUCGAAGUUCUUCGGUUGAAUCAUUCGAAACAUAAUGAUUAUACCGCAUCAUAUUUGAAAGAAGAAUAACCUGAUUAAUCGAUUCGAGAAGCCUGGGCAUCGUUGAAACACUCGA
Harmonia axyridis is the source of this 310-nucleotide long non-coding RNA. RefSeq lists it as uncharacterized. The transcript has 2 exons. Lineage: Eukaryota; Metazoa; Arthropoda; Insecta; Coleoptera; Coccinellidae. The record is from RefSeq and is a predicted model, not a curated record.